AGGGUAAUAGUUCAGUGGUAGAGUGCAUGCUUAGCAUGCAUGAGGUCCUGGGUUCAAUCCCCAGUACCUCCC
This 72-nucleotide transfer RNA is filed under the name Camelus bactrianus (Bactrian camel). It matches the Rfam family "tRNA". Rfam says of the family: Transfer RNA (tRNA) molecules are approximately 80 nucleotides in length. RNAcentral also lists the same sequence under 2 other names. The record is from Rfam by way of RNAcentral. Lineage: Eukaryota; Metazoa; Chordata; Mammalia; Artiodactyla; Camelidae.